Long non-coding RNA from Mustela lutreola (European mink), 1163 nucleotides. RefSeq lists it as uncharacterized. The transcript has 3 exons. The record is from RefSeq and is a predicted model, not a curated record. NCBI's taxonomy places the organism in Eukaryota, Metazoa, Chordata, Mammalia, Carnivora, Mustelidae.
CUGGAGCUGCAGCAACGGUCUUGCAACCAUGAAAUUAAAACCAAGAGAAUUCUAGACACUUUGGUGCUGAUGUUGUCUGAGUGACUGGAACCAGUGCUCGACACUGUCUACAUUCAGACUUUCCAGGCCUACAAGACUCUCAUUGGAGUUCACUCUUACCUUCGGCCUUAGCAUGGACAUAGAAGAAGCCAACACAAGUCUAGUUUAUUUAAAGAUGGUCUUGUAGAAACAAAAGCGAAAAUGACCUUUUGGGACUUCAUCAAAAUCAAAAGCUUCUGCACAGCAAAGGAAACAGUCAACAAAACAAAAAGGCAACCCACAGAAUGGGAGAAGAUAUUUGAAAAUGACAGUACAGACAAAAGGUUGAUAUCCAGGAUCUAUAAAGAACUCCUCAAACUCAACACACACAAAACAGACAAUCAUAUUAAAAAAAAUGGGCAGAAGAUAUGAACAGACACUUCUCCAGUGAAGACAUACAAAUGGCUAUCAGACACAUGAAAAAAUGUUCAUCAUCACUGGUCCUCAGGGAGAUUCAAAUUAAAAUCACAUUGAGAUAUCACCUUACACCAGUUAGAAUGGACAAAAUUAGCAAGACAGGAAACAACAUGUGUUGGAGAGGAUGUGGAGAAAGGGGAACCCUUUUCCACUGUUGGUGGGAAUGCAAGUUGCUGCAGCCACUUUGGAGAACAGUGUGGAGAUUCCUCAAGAAAUUAAAAAUAGAACUUCCCUAUGACCCUGCCAUUGAACUACUAGCUAUUUACCCCAAAGAUACAGAUGUAGUGAAAAGAAGGGCCAUCUGUACCCCAAUGUUUAUAGCAGCAAUGGCCACGGUCGCCAAACUGUGGAAAGAACCAAGAUGCCCUCCAACGAAUGAAUGGAUAAGGAAGAUGUGGUCCAUAUACACUAUGGAAUAUUAUGCCUCCAUCAAAAAGGAUGAAUACCCAACUUUUGUAGCAACAUGGACGGGACUGGAAGAGAUUAUGCUGAGUGAAAUAAGUCAAGCAGAGAAAGUCAAUUAUCACACGGUUUCACUUAUUUGUGGAGCAUAACAAAUAGCAUGGAGGACAAGGGGAGAUGGAGAGGAGAAGGGAGUUGAGGGAAAUUGGAAGGGGAGGUGAACUAUGAGAGACUAUGGACUCUGAAAAACAACCUGAGAGUUUUGA